CCUACGGGUGGCUGCAGUGGGGAAUAUUGGACAAUGGGGGCAACCCUGAUCCAGCCAUGCCGCGUGUGUGAAGAAGGCCCUCGGGUUGUAAAGCACUUUCAGUGGGGAAGAACGCCUGGUGGUUAAUACCCAUCAGGAAAGACAUCACUCACAGAAGAAGCACCGGCUAACUCCGUGCCAGCAGCCGCGGUAAUACGGAGGGUGCGAGCGUUAAUCGGAAUUACUGGGCGUAAAGCGCGCGUAGGUGGCUUGAUAAGCCGGUUGUGAAAGCCCCGGGCUCAACCUGGGAACGGCAUCCGGAACUGUCAAGCUAGAGUGCAGGAGAGGAAGGUAGAAUUCCCGGUGUAGCGGUGAAAUGCGUAGAGAUCGGGAGGAAUACCAGUGGCGAAGGCGGCCUUCUGGACUGACACUGACACUGAGGUGCGAAAGCGUGGGUAGCAAACAGGAUUAGAUACCCGGGUAGUC
RNAcentral lists this ribosomal RNA (465 nucleotides) under Vreelandella stevensii. RNAcentral's name for it is "partial 16S ribosomal RNA". It matches the Rfam family "Bacterial small subunit ribosomal RNA", at positions 338 to 795 of the family's 1533-position model. The record is from RNAcentral. Lineage: Bacteria; Pseudomonadati; Pseudomonadota; Gammaproteobacteria; Oceanospirillales; Halomonadaceae.